Molecule: ribosomal RNA, 498 nt
Filed under: uncultured bacterium
Lineage: Bacteria
Description: partial 16S ribosomal RNA
Rfam family: Bacterial small subunit ribosomal RNA
Source: RNAcentral
GACGAACGCUGGCGGCGUGCCUAAUACAUGCAAGUCGAGCGGUCCCUUCGGGGAUAGCGGCGGACGGGUGAGUAACACGUAGGCAACCUGCCUGUAAGACCGGAAUAACUAUGGGAAACGAUAGCUAAGACCGGAUAGCUGGUUUUCUCGCAUGAGAGAAUCAUGAAACACGGGGCAACCUGUGGCUUACAGAUGGGCCUGCGGCGCAUUAGCUAGUUGGUAGGGUAACGGCCUACCAAGGCGACGAUGCGUAGCCGACCUGAGAGGGUGACCGGCCACACUGGGACUGAGACACGGCCCAGACUCCUACGGGAGGCGGCAGUAGGGAAUCUUCCGCAAUGGACGCAAGUCUGACGGAGCAACGCCGCGUGAGUGAUGAAGGUCUUCGGAUCGUAAAGCUCUGUUGCCCUAGACGAACAGCAAGGAGAGUAACUGCUCUUUGUGUGACGGUAUAGGAGAAGAAAGCCCCGGCUAACUACGUGCCAGCAGCCGCCGUAA